CCUACGGGAGGCAGCAGUGAGGAAUAUUGGUCAAUGGCCGGAAGGCUGACCCAGCCAUGCCGCGUGAAGGUCAGUGCCCUACGGGCGUUAAACUUCUGUUGUGCGGGAGCAAUAAUGGUCACGUGUGGCCAGACGAGACUACCGUACGAAUAAGCAUCGGCUAACACAGUGCGAGCAGCCGCGGUAAUACGGGGGAUGCAAGCGUUAUCCGGAUUUAUUGGGUUUAAAGGGUGCGUAGGCUGUGAGGUAAGUCAGCGGGGAAAUGCCCCCGCUCAACGGGGUGAAGUGCCAUUGAUACUGGCUGGCUAGAAUGCGGAUGCGGUGAGAGGAAUGUGUGGUGUAGCGGUGAAAUGCAUAGAUAUCA
RNAcentral lists this ribosomal RNA (364 nucleotides) under uncultured bacterium. RNAcentral's name for it is "partial 16S ribosomal RNA". It matches the Rfam family "Bacterial small subunit ribosomal RNA", at positions 338 to 699 of the family's 1533-position model. The record is from RNAcentral.